RNAcentral lists this ribosomal RNA (3673 nucleotides) under Rhodothermus marinus. RNAcentral describes it as "23S ribosomal RNA". It matches the Rfam family "Bacterial large subunit ribosomal RNA". The record is from RNAcentral. Lineage: Bacteria; Pseudomonadati; Rhodothermota; Rhodothermia; Rhodothermales; Rhodothermaceae.
UUAAGUAGGUAAGGGCGCAUGGUGGAUGCCUCGGCAUGGGCAGGCGAUGAAGGGCGUGGCAAGCUGCGAUAAGCCGCGGGGAGCCGCAAGCAGGCUGUGAUCCGCGGAUUCCCGAAUGGGGCAACCCGGCCGGUCGAAGACCGGUCAUCCACGGGCUGAAUCCAUAGGCCCGUGGAGGCGAACCCGGGGAACUGAAACAUCUCAGUACCCGGAGGAAAAGAAAGCAACCGCGAUUCCCUGAGUAGUGGCGAGCGAAAGGGGAACAGCCCAAACCGGCGUCGUUUCGGCGGCGCCGGGGUUGUAGGGCCCGCCAUAUGGGAUCGGAAGGUGAAGUCGAAGCGUGCUGGAAAGCCGCGCCAUAGAGGGUGAUAGCCCCGUAGGCGUAAGCCGACCGAUCUCGGCGGUGUCCCUGAGUACCACGGGACCGGUGGAAUCCUGUGGGAAGCUGCCAGCACCAUCUGGCAAGGCUAAAUACUCGCCCAUGACCGAUAGCGCACUAGUACCGUGAGGGAAAGGUGAAAAGAACGCCUAGUAGGCGAGUGAAAAGGACCUGAAACCAUGCGCCCACAACCAGUCGGAGCCUCUUGCCGGACUUCGGUCCGGCAAUGGGGUGACGGCGUGCCUUUUGCAGAAUGAGCCUACGAGUUGCUCCUCUCUGGCAAGGCUAAGUGCCUCAGGCACGGAGCCGCAGCGAAAGCGAGUCCGAACAGGGCGCCAGAGUCAGAGGGGGCAGACGCGAAACCGGGUGAGCUACCCUUGGCCAGGUUGAAGCGUGGGUAAGACCACGUGGAGGACCGAACCGGUUGGCGUUGAAAAGCCAUCGGAUGAGCUGAGGGUAGGGGUGAAAGGCCAACCAAACCCGGAGAUAGCUCGUACUCCCCGAAAUGCAUAGAGGUGCAGCGUCGCAGCCGAGUGUGCGGGAGGUAGAGCACUGGUUGGGCUAGGGCCCUUCACCGGGUACCAAACCCAGUCAAACUCCGAAUGCCCGCACAUGCUCUGCGGCAGUGAGGGCAUGGGCGAUAAGGUCCAUGUCCGAGAGGGGGACAACCCAGACCGACAGCUAAGGCCCCGAAGUCCAGGCUAAGUUGGGCAAAGGAGGUCGGGCUGCUAAGACAACCAGGAGGUUGGCUUAGAAGCAGCCAUUCCUUUAAAGAGUGCGUAACAGCUCACUGGUCGAGCGGCCCGGCGCCGAAAAUUGUCGGGCAUCAAGCCUGGCGCCGAAGCUUCGGGUUUGCAGCCUUCGGGCUGCAAGCGGUAGGGGAGCAUUCCAGUUGCGCUGAAGUCGUCUCGUGAGGGGCGGUGGAGCGACUGGAAAAGAAAAUGUAGGCAUGAGUAACGAGAAGACGGGUGAAAAACCCGUCCGCCGUAAGCCCAAGGGUUCCUGCUCAACGCUAAUCGGAGCAGGGUUAGCCGGGUCCUAAGCCGAGGCCGAAAGGCGUAGGCGAUGGGAAACGGGUUAAUAUUCCCGUGCCACCCGAAGGCGCUAACCUGAGGCGUGACGCAGGAGCGUAAGGCCCGCGCCCUGACGGAAUAGGGCGUUGAAGCCCGUAGGCUGGGUGGUAGGCAAAUCCGCCACCCGCUAAGGCCGAAAGGCGACAGUAGGGGGACCCGCAAGGGAAACCCAUAGAGGCCCCAAGCACACUGCCAAGAAAAGCGUCGCAGGUUGUCUUCGGGUGCCCGUACCGGAAACCGACACAGGUGGGCGAGGCGAGUAUCCUCAGGCGCUCGAGUGAUCCGUGGCUAAGGAACUCGGCAAAUUGGCCCCGUAACUUCGGGAGAAGGGGCGCCUCCUCCCAUCCAAAAGCGGGAGGGGGCCGCAGUGACCAGGCCCAGGCGACUGUUUAACAAAAACACAGCUCUCUGCGAACUCGUAAGAGGACGUAUAGGGAGUGACACCUGCCCGGUGCCGGAAGGUUAAGGAAGGGGGUUAUCCCGGCCUCGCGCCGGGAGAAGCUCCCGACCGAAGCCCCGGUAAACGGCGGCCGUAACUAUAACGGUCCUAAGGUAGCAUCCGCUGCCUGCCCACAGGGUAACCUGUGGGGCAAGCCCGGCUGUAUGCGGGAACGCCCUGAGAGCCACUUCUACGUCUCCCGCCCAAGGGCGGGCGUAAAAAUGAAGUGGAUUGGGUAACCCGCAGGAAACCCCGCCGCAAGCGGGGGAUCCUCAGAGGCCAUACGCCGGGUAUCCAGUACCAGUCGGGCCUGAAAUAAAACCAAACCAAUACUUUCAUGCAGCUCACUGCCGAUUGGGUGGUCGGCUUUGUCGACGGUGAAGGUUGUUUUCACGUGGGCAUUGCCGAACACCCGGAGAUGAGCACCGGCUAUCAGGUGCUCCCGGAGUUCACGGUGGUCCAGCAUGAGCGCGACAUUCAGAUCCUGUAUGCGCUCAAGCGGUUCUUCGGCUUCGGGGUGGUUCGGAAAAAUCACGCAGAUCGCUAUGCCUACCGGGUGCGCAAACUGAAGCACCUGGAGCAGCUCUGCGAGUUCUUUCUGAAACACCCGUUGAAGACCCGCAAGAACGUGGACUUCCGGAAAUUCCGACGCGUUGUGCUGAUGAUGAAAGAAGGACGCCAUCUGACGCGGGAAGGCCUGGCCGAAAUCAUCGAUCUUGCAAGUUCGAUGAACACCGGCGACCGACCGCGUCUGGAAGCGAUCAAGGCCCAGCUGGCUGCUGGAUAAAGAGAUGGUCCACCCCCGCUGGAAACAGUGGGAUCAGGGUGAGCGAAAUUCCUUGUCGGGUAAGUUCCGACCUGCACGAAUGGUGUAACGACCUGGGCACUGUCUCGGCCACGGGCUCGGUGAAAUUGUGGUGCCAGUGAAGACGCUGGCUACCCGCCGCGGGACGGAAAGACCCCGUGCACCUUUACUGCAGCCUGGCAUUGACGCCGGCCAGGGCGUGUGCAGGAUAGGCGGGAGGCUGUGAAGCCGGGGCGCCAGCUCCGGUGGAGCCGCCCUUGAGAUACCGCCCUCGCUCUGGCUGGCGCCUAACCCACGGCCGUUAUCCGGUCGGGGAACAGUGUCAGGUGGGUGGUUUGACUGGGGCGGUCGCCUCCUAAAGCGUAACGGAGGCUCCCAAAGGUCCCCUCAGCACGGUCGGUAAUCGUGCGUAGAGUGCAAGGGCAUAAGGGGGCUUGACUGCGAGACACACAAGUCGAGCAGGGGCGAAAGCCGGGCCUAGUGAUCCGGCGGUUCCGAAUGGAAGGGCCGUCGCUCAAAGGAUAAAAGGUACGCCGGGGAUAACAGGCUGAUCGGGGCCAAGAGUUCACAUCGACGCCCCGGUUUGGCACCUCGAUGUCGGCUCAUCGCAUCCUGGGGCUGGAGAAGGUCCCAAGGGUUGGGCUGUUCGCCCAUUAAAGCGGUACGUGAGCUGGGUUCAGAACGUCGUGAGACAGUUCGGUCCCUAUCUGCGGCGGGCGCAGGAGGCUUGAGCGGAGCUGCCCCUAGUACGAGAGGACCGGGGUGGACGGACCUCUAGUGUACCAGUUGUGCCGCCAGGUGCACCGCUGGGUAGCUAUGUCCGGAAGGGAUAAGCGCUGAAAGCAUCUAAGCGCGAAGCCCACCGCAAGAUGAGGCCUCCCCUGCGGGCCGUCCGAGACCAGGACGUCGAUAGGCGGCAGGUGUAAGCGGGGUAACCCGUUGAGCCGAGCCGUACUAAUCGCCCGCGUGACUUAAUC